Molecule: ribosomal RNA, 253 nt
Filed under: uncultured bacterium
Lineage: Bacteria
Description: partial 16S ribosomal RNA
Rfam family: Bacterial small subunit ribosomal RNA
Source: RNAcentral
UACAGAGGUCUCGAGCGUUAGGCGGAAUCACUGGGCUUAAAGCGUGUGUAGGCGGAUCGUUAAGUGCCUUGUGAAAUCCCACGGCUCAACCGUGGAACUGCUUGGCAUACUGGCGGUCUUGAGCAACCUAGGGGCGAGCGGAACAAAUGGUGGAGCGGUGAAAUGCGUAGAUAUCAUUUGGAACGCCAAUGGCGAAGGCAGCCCCCUGGGGUAACACUGACGCUCAUGCACGAAAGCGUGGGGAGCAAACAGG